GGAUUCCCCCAGUAACGGCGAGUGAAGAGGGAAAAGCCCAAAUUUGUAAUCUGGCUCUUUUAGAGUCCGAGUUGUAAUUUUGAGAACUGUUUUCUGUGCUGGACCAUGUUUAAGUCUGUUGAAAAACAGCAUCAUUGAGGGUGAUAAUCCCGUUCAUGAUAUGGACUACCAGUGCUCUAUGAUACAGUCUCUAAGAGUCGAGUUGUUUGGGAAUGCAGCUCAAAGUGGGUGGUAAAUUCCAUCUAAGGCUAAAUAUAGGUGAGAGACCGAUAGCAAACAAGUACCGUGAGGGAAAGAUGAAAAGAACUUUGGAAAGAGAGUUAACAGUACGUGAAAUUGCUGAAAGGGAAACAAUUGAAGUUAGCCUUGUUAUUUCCAGUUCAACCCUUUUAGGGUGUAUUCUGGUGAUUAACGACCAACAUCAGUCUUUGGGUGCUGGAUAAGGGUUUUGGAAAUGUAGCAGUCUAGGCUGUGUUAUAGUCCAUUACUUUGAUACAGUGCUUAGGAUUGAGGAUCGCAGUAAGCCAAUUUUGGUGGAUCAAUUUAUUGGUCUUCUUAC
This 559-nucleotide ribosomal RNA is filed under the name Aecidium sp. IBA-8556. RNAcentral's name for it is "eukaryotic LSU rRNA". It matches the Rfam family "Eukaryotic large subunit ribosomal RNA", at positions 72 to 634 of the family's 3401-position model. RNAcentral also lists the same sequence under 5 other names. The record is from RNAcentral. Lineage: Eukaryota; Fungi; Basidiomycota; Pucciniomycetes; Pucciniales.